AUGUAGAAAGGAUGUGACUUGCUGUGAAUCAGGCUUGAUAUUUAUUUUUUUAAAAUUUUAAAAUAUAAUCCCUCUCUGUGUUCCAAAAGUAGCCUUCACAGAAGUAUGGUUCAGAGUCUUAAGGGGAAAAUCAUGAAGGUGCUUGGGCAUGGUUUUGUUGUGACCACAAUAUCUACCCAAGUGCCUUGUGCUGCCUGGUAAAGGAAGCAUUAACAAAUAAUACAUCCUGAGCAUCCUCAGAGGGAUAAGGCUGACCUGACUAAUAUUUGCACAGAAAAACAAGUAGAGAUGCUGCUUAAUUUUCUACCAACACUUUCUUUAGAUCAUUCUGUUGUCUAGAUAGAGCUCAAUAUCUUGAAAAAUUUCCAUAUCCACUGUCAAAAAUUGACUUCAUUUUUUAAUUUAUUGGCAUAAGAAAAGUUUUAUUAAAGUCACAGAGAGAAAAAAGAAAUUUGGACUUUUCAUAUUGUGUAUUGCAUCCUAUAAAGAUGAUUAAUCAGUUGAAUGUAUAACUCAUAUGUCAUUGUCUUCUCUUAAAAGUCUUCAUAUCAGAAAAAAAUUAUAGAAAUACAUCAAAAUAUAACCUUGUUUUAGUUCUUCUUAGUAGAUUAUCCUUCAUUUCUUUUUUUUUGGAGUGAAUGUUUUUGCAUUAGUCUCAAUGCAAGUUUUCUGAAACCUGAAAGCAGCAGUGAUGAGGUUUUUGGAGUUGUUUGUGGUGCAGUUUUCACUGUGCUGCUCAGUUCUGAGUCAGCCAUAUGAGCAUUGAUAUCUCUGAGUAUGUGGGAAUUAUUCUGAAAUUAUUUGGAUUUUUCUUACCUUUUCUUUCAGACUGCAUGCUAAUGUGGGAAUAAACACUAAAACCCAGAUAACUUAUAUUGUUAUUUCUGUUCAUAGGACUGUACUCAGUUUACAUCUGAUGAUGAAUGAUGCAUGAAGAAUAUGGGAUUUUUUCAAGGGUUCCUAAAGCUAAAGGAGCCCAGUUUCUCAAGCUUUGACAUAAAGUCUUUCAGAGCCCUGGAUCCCUGUCAAUGUCAUGCUGAAGCUCAAGUCACUGAAGUGAUCCAUCGUGCUGCUGCAGGAGAGUGGUGCAGAGAUGGGACAGACAAGGAGAUGCAGGAGGCACAGGGGAGGAGAGGGACAGACCCUAGGAAAUGGGCAGCACCUGCAGCAAGUACCAGGGGGACACAGGUUAGUGCAAAGGGCUGCUGUUAGCACUUCCUAUUUCACAGAACCAUAAAUAGUUUAGGUUAGAGAGAAAUCUUAAAGAUCAUCUAGUUCCAACCCCUUAGCCAGGGACAGGUACACCAUGCGCUUCUCUAAUUCAUUUUAUGUUGCUUCUGAAAAAUAGAAACCUAGGUAAAGAGAGAGUGAUAUUGUCCUUGGUGUGGGAAAAAAAAGCCCAGCCCCAUAGCUGAGUCCAGAGGUGUGAGCAGGGGAAUCUGGAAGGUAAAGGGUGAAGCAGAGACAGCACCUCUUGUCUCACUGGGGAAAGCAUUACUUAUCCCACCAAUGAAGCUUCCCUUUCUGUGGGGAGGAUAGAAGAUUUCUUCAGAUUUAAACAUUACUUUCUGAUUAACUAAUUAUGUACAAUUUCAUUAAAUAUGGUCAUCCAAUAAAAGACAGUUUGGAACUGAGACUGUUUUGCUU
Cyanistes caeruleus (blue tit) is the source of this 1647-nucleotide long non-coding RNA. Lineage: Eukaryota; Metazoa; Chordata; Aves; Passeriformes; Paridae. The record is from Ensembl.